RNAcentral lists this ribosomal RNA (516 nucleotides) under uncultured bacterium. RNAcentral describes it as "bacterial SSU rRNA". It matches the Rfam family "Bacterial small subunit ribosomal RNA", at positions 8 to 518 of the family's 1533-position model. The record is from RNAcentral.
AGAGUUUGAUUCUGGCUCAGAUUGAACGCUGGCGGCAGGCUUAACACAUGCAAGUCGAGCGGGAAAAGUAGCUUGCUACUUACCUAGCGGCGGACGGGUGAGUAAUGCUUAGGAAUCUACCUAUUAGUGGGGGGACAACAUCUCGAAAGGGAUGCUAAUACCGCAUACGUCCUACGGGAGAAAGCAGGGGAUCUUCGGACCUUGCGCUAAUAGAUGAGCCUAAGUCGGAUUAGCUAGUUGGUGGGGUAAAGGCCUACCAAGGCGACGAUCUGUAGCGGGUCUGAGAGGAUGAUCCGCCACACUGGGACUGAGACACGGCCCAGACUCCUACGGGAGGCAGCAGUGGGGAAUAUUGGACAAUGGGGGGAACCCUGAUCCAGCCAUGCCGCGUGUGUGAAAGAAGGCCUUUUGGUUGUAAAGCACUUUAAGCGAGGAGGAGGCUACCGAGAUUAAUACUCUUGGAUAGUGGACGUUACUCGCAGAAUAAGCACCGGCUAACUCUGUGCCAGCCGCGGC